This 1818-nucleotide ribosomal RNA is filed under the name Triticum aestivum (bread wheat). RNAcentral's name for it is "partial small subunit ribosomal RNA". Lineage: Eukaryota; Viridiplantae; Streptophyta; Magnoliopsida; Poales; Poaceae. The record is from RNAcentral.
AUGUACCGGUUCAAUGUCGGGGGCCAAGCCAUUUCCCCCAAGGAUGACUCGGGAUUUUACCGCUUAUGGGCUGAUGAUUCCCCAUACAUAUUCGGCGCUAGCUCUGGGGUGACAUACUCCAAAGAUAAUAAUGUGACUAUCAGGUAUACACCCGUAGUGCCAAAGUACAUAGCGCCACUUGACGUCUAUGGUACAGCUCGGUCGAUGGGACCAACUGCACAGGUCAACCUGAAUUACAACCUUACAUGGAUUUUACCUGUUGAUGCGGGGUUCAUUUAUCUCCUAAGGUUCCAUUUCUGUGAGAUCCAGUCUCCUAUUACCAAGGAGAAUCAGAGGACAUUCUACAUCUACAUCAACAACCAGACAGCACAACGGGCCACGGAUGUAAUCUCUUUGAGUGGAGGACUCGGUAGAACAUCAUAUAGAGACUAUGUUAUCAUGGCUAGUGGUUCCGGUCAGGUGGACAUGUGGAUUGCACUUCACCCUGAUAUUACAACAAAGCCACGCUAUGUUGAUGCAAUACUUAAUGGUCUUGAGGUCUUCAAGCUACAGGGUCAUGAACCGAAUAAUCUUGCUGGGCUCAAUCCUCCACUUCAACAAAAGCCUGAUGUGGAACCUAAGAGGGUACCUGGCGGUGCAAGGAAGUCCAAAAGUGGCCUACUAGUAGCCAUCGGUGGCGGUUUUGCUUUGAUGUUGAUUGCCCUUUUCAGCAUGUGUGUUAUUUUCCGACGAAAAAAAGUAGGGAAGAGUUGUUGCAAGACCAACAACGGACAUCUAAAUCAUCCCGCAUGUGAUCUCGUGCGUCAGUUCUCAUUUUCACAAAUUCAAAUUGCCACCAACGACUUUGAUGAGGAACUAAUCAUUGGCAGAGGUGGAUUUAGUAAUGUCUACAGCGGCGAGAUAGAUGGAGGGCCAAAGGUGGCGAUCAAGCGACUCAACCAGGAAUCCCAACAAGGCAGUCAUGAGUUCCAGGCUGAAAUUGAGAUGCUGUGCAAUUUCCGCCAUGGCCACCUUGUGUCUUUGAUUGGCUACUGCCAGGACAGUAAUGAGAUGAUUUUGGUGUAUGAAUACAUGGUUCAUGGAACAUUGCGUGAGCAUCUGUACAGUACCCGAAACUCACCACUAUCAUGGCGGCGGCGCCUUGAGAUCUGCAUCGGUGUAGCUCGAGGACUGCAUUACCUCCACACUGGCACAGAGAAAGGAAUCAUCCACCGUGAUGUUAAGACAUCAAACAUCCUACUGGAUGAGAGGUUCAUGGCGAAGGUCUCUGACUUUGGUCUAUCUAAGGCUUUUCCAGCCAUUGACAAUACCCACGUGAGCACCGCUGUGAAAGGCACCUUUGGAUAUUUUGAUCCGGAGUACUUCCUAUUGCGGCGUCUCACCAAAAAAUCAGAUGUGUACUCCUUCGGAGUCAUGUUGUUUGAGAUCAUGUGUGCGCGCCCUGUGAUAAACACUGAUCUCGCAGACGAGCAAGUGAGCUUACGUGACUGGGCGCUAUAUUGCCAAGAGAGGGGCGUACUUGAGGAGAUUGUUGACCCUUGUGUAAAGGACGAGAUCACCCCCGAGUGCUUCCGUAUAUUUGCAGAGCUAGCAGAAAAAUGUGUUGCUGAUCGUAGCAUAGAUCGGCCAACAAUGGAUGAUGUACUUCAGAACCUUGAGGUCGCACUCAGGUUGCAGGACAAUAACAACUGUGUCGGGAGGCCAUCGUCUCUUCAGAUAAUUGGAAUGCAUUCAGACAAACCAUCAACCCACUCAAUAAUUAGUGUCGCUGCACAGGGAGAGAUAUUUUCAGAUAUUAUGCAUCUGGAAGGCCGAUGA